CGCGACCCCAGGUCAGGCGGGGCUACCCGCUGAGUUUA
Molecule: ribosomal RNA, 38 nt
Filed under: Neltuma glandulosa
Lineage: Eukaryota; Viridiplantae; Streptophyta; Magnoliopsida; Fabales; Fabaceae
Description: Prosopis glandulosa partial 26S ribosomal RNA
Source: RNAcentral